GACGAACGCUGGCGGCGUGCCUAAUACAUGCAAGUUGAGCGCUGAAGGUUGGUACUUGUACCAACUGGAUGAGCAGCGAACGGGUGAGUAACGCGUGGGGAAUCUGCCUUUGAGCGGGGGACAACAUUUGGAAACGAAUGCUAAUACCGCAUAAAAACUUUAAACACAAGUUUUAAGUUUGAAAGAUGCAAUUGCAUCACUCAAAGAUGAUCCCGCGUUGUAUUAGCUAGUUGGUGAGGUAAAGGCUCACCAAGGCGAUGAUACAUAGCCGACCUGAGAGGGUGAUCGGCCACAUUGGGACUGAGACGCGGCCCAACCUCCUACGGGAGGCAGCAGUAGGGAAUCUUCGGCAAUAGACGAAAGUCUGACCGAGCAACGCCGCGUGAGUGAAGAAGGUUUUCGGAUCGUAAAACUCUGUUGGUAGAGAAGAACGUUGGUGAGAGUGGAAAGCUCAUCAAGUGACGGUAACUACCCAGAAAGGGACGGCUAACUACGUG
This 497-nucleotide ribosomal RNA is filed under the name uncultured bacterium. RNAcentral's name for it is "partial 16S ribosomal RNA". It matches the Rfam family "Bacterial small subunit ribosomal RNA", at positions 28 to 507 of the family's 1533-position model. The record is from RNAcentral.